GGAGCGGAGUUAGGGUCGCCAGGCCGAGCCGAGGUGGGACGGACCGACGCAGAGAGGAAGGGAAGCCACCUGGCCUGAAGAUCCUGUCUCUAAGAUCCCAUUCUGAGGCUUCGAGGGUCUGGCUUGAGCAGCACAGACAGGGACGUGUCUAACCGGGAUGACCAUGAGGUCUCAUCGCAGUUUGCCACUAACCAGGACCCUAGGAGUGCUGUUUUAUUGUCUCCACCUGACAGAUAAGGAAAUGGCAGCUGACCCAGGUCAAGGAAGUUCCUGAGGUCCCAGGGCUAAUAAGUGGCCUGACUCCACCACCAGCCCCCAGGAGGAAGCCAACCCCAGCCCUAGAAAAACCCAAUUCCUGAGUGAGUGCUGUAA
RNAcentral lists this long non-coding RNA (372 nucleotides) under Homo sapiens (human). Its description in RNAcentral is "non-protein coding lnc-RPRML-3:6". Lineage: Eukaryota; Metazoa; Chordata; Mammalia; Primates; Hominidae. The record is from RNAcentral.